RNAcentral lists this unclassified non-coding RNA (429 nucleotides) under soil metagenome. Its description in RNAcentral is "partial contains 5.8S ribosomal RNA, internal transcribed spacer 2, and large subunit ribosomal RNA". The stretch from base 1 to 119 matches the Rfam family "5.8S ribosomal RNA", at positions 35 to 154 of the family's 154-position model. The record is from RNAcentral.
GAUGAAGAACGUAGCGAAACGCGAAAGGUAAUGCGAAUUGCAGAAUCAGUGAGUCAUCGAAUCUUUGAACGCAUAUUGCGCUCUCUGGUAUUCCGGAGAGCAUGCUUGUUUGAGUAUCAGUAAACACCUCAACUCCCUUUUCUUUUUUGAAAUUGGAGCUGGACUUGAGUGAUCCCAACGCUUUCUUCCAAGAAAGUGGCGGGUUGCUUGAAAUGCAGGUGCAGCUGAACUUUUCUCUGAGCUAUAAGCAUAUCUAUUUAGUCUGCCUAAAAAACAGAUUAUUACCUUUGCUGCAGCUAACAUAAAGGAGACUAGUUCUUGUGCUGACUGAUGCAGGAUUCACAGAGACAGCUUCGGCUGACUUUGUAAACUCGAUCUCAAAUCAAGUAAGACUACCCGCUGAACUUAAGCAUAUCAAUAAGCGGAGGA